GCCGUUGUAGUCAAGAUGGAUAAAGACAACAGACUGUAAAUCUGUCGCUUAUAGCUUCGGAGGUUCGAAUCCUUCCAACGGCACCA
This 86-nucleotide transfer RNA is filed under the name Caudoviricetes sp. RNAcentral's name for it is "tRNA-Tyr". It matches the Rfam family "tRNA". Rfam says of the family: Transfer RNA (tRNA) molecules are approximately 80 nucleotides in length. The record is from RNAcentral. Lineage: Duplodnaviria; Heunggongvirae; Uroviricota; Caudoviricetes.